Molecule: ribosomal RNA, 214 nt
Filed under: uncultured bacterium
Lineage: Bacteria
Description: partial 16S ribosomal RNA
Rfam family: Bacterial small subunit ribosomal RNA
Source: RNAcentral
CUCAGUUCGGAUUGCAGGCUGCAACUCGCCUGUAUGAAGUCGGAAUUACUAGUAAUCGCGGAUCAGCAUGCCGCGGUGAAUACGUUCCCGGGCCUUGUACACACCGCCCGUCACACCAUGAGAGCCGGGAACACCCGAAGUCCGUAGUCUAACCGCAAGGAGGGCGCGGCCGAAGGUGGGUUCGAUAAUUGGGGUGAAGUCGUAACAAGGUAAC